CACGUAGGCGGCUUGCUAAGUCAGGGGUGAAAUCCUGGAGCUCAACUCCAGAACUGCCUUUGAUACUGGCGAGCUCGAGUCCGGGAGAGGUGAGUGGAACUCCGAGUGUAGAGGUGAAAUUCGUAGAUAUUCGGAAGAACACCAGUGGCGAAGGCGGCUCACUGGCCCGGUACUGACGCUGAUGUGCGAAAGCGUGGGGAGCAAACAGGAUUAGAUACCCUGGUAGUCCACGCCGUAAACGAUGGAUGCUAGCCGUUGGCGAGCUUGCUCGUCAGUGGCGCAGCUAACGCUUUAAGCAUCCCGCCUGGGGAGUACGGUCGCAAGAUUAAA
RNAcentral lists this ribosomal RNA (330 nucleotides) under uncultured bacterium. RNAcentral's name for it is "bacterial SSU rRNA". It matches the Rfam family "Bacterial small subunit ribosomal RNA", at positions 568 to 898 of the family's 1533-position model. The record is from RNAcentral.